This 140-nucleotide ribosomal RNA is filed under the name uncultured bacterium. RNAcentral's name for it is "partial 16S rRNA". It matches the Rfam family "Bacterial small subunit ribosomal RNA", at positions 355 to 507 of the family's 1533-position model. The record is from RNAcentral.
UCGAGAAUAUUCCACAAUGGGCGAAAGCCUGAUGGAGCGACGCCGCGUGCAGGAUGAAGGUUUUCGGAUCGUAAACUGCUUUUCUUCGGGAGAAACUUCGGUGAUAGUACCCGGAGGAAUAAGGGGUUGCUAACUACGUG